This 45-nucleotide non-coding RNA is filed under the name Trichobilharzia regenti. The record is from RNAcentral. Lineage: Eukaryota; Metazoa; Platyhelminthes; Trematoda; Strigeidida; Schistosomatidae.
AUCCAGAUGAUGAGUCCCAGAUAGAACGAAAUGCCCAUCAUGGAU